GACGAACGCUGGCGGCGUGCUUAACACAUGCAAGUCGAACGGAAAGGCCCUGCUUUUGUGGGGUGCUCGAGUGGCGAACGGGUGAGUAACACGUGAGUAACCUGCACUUGACUUUGUGGUAACUUCAGGAAACUGGGGCUAAUACCGGAUAGGAGCUCCUGCUGCAUGGUGGGGGUUGGUAAGUUUCGGCGGUUGGGGCUGGUUUCGCUGGUUAUCAGCUUGUUGGGGGGGUAGUGGCUUACCAAGGGUUUGAAGGAUAGGCGGCCUGGGAGGGUUACCGGGCACAAUGGGACUGAGAGACGGACCAGAAUCGAACGGGAGGCAGCGGGGGGGAAUAUUGCAGAAUGGGCGGAAGCGUGAUGCAGCAACGUCGGGUGCGGAAUGACGGCCUUCGGGGUGUAAACCGAUUUGGCCUGUGCCGAAGCGAGAGUGACGGUAAUGGGUAAAAAAGCACCGGCUAACUACGUG
This 468-nucleotide ribosomal RNA is filed under the name uncultured bacterium. RNAcentral describes it as "partial 16S ribosomal RNA". It matches the Rfam family "Bacterial small subunit ribosomal RNA", at positions 28 to 507 of the family's 1533-position model. The record is from RNAcentral.